This 938-nucleotide ribosomal RNA is filed under the name Phylloporia weberiana. RNAcentral describes it as "partial large subunit ribosomal RNA". It matches the Rfam family "Eukaryotic large subunit ribosomal RNA", at positions 38 to 965 of the family's 3401-position model. The record is from RNAcentral. Lineage: Eukaryota; Fungi; Basidiomycota; Agaricomycetes; Hymenochaetales; Hymenochaetaceae.
GCAUAUCAAUAAGCGGAGGAAAAGAAACUAACAAGGAUUCCCCUAGUAACUGCGAGUGAAGCGGGAAAAGCUCAAAUUUAAAAUCUGGCGGUCUUUGGCCGUCCGAGUUGUAGUCUGGAGAAGUGCUUUCCGCGCUGGACCGUGUAUAAGUCUCUUGGAACAGAGCGUCAUAGAGGGUGAGAAUCCCGUCUUUGACACGGACUACCAGUGCUUUGUGAUGCGCUCUCAAAGAGUCGAGUUGUUUGGGAAUGCAGCUCAAAAUGGGUGGUGAAUUCCAUCUAAAGCUAAAUAUUGGCGAGAGACCGAUAGCGAACAAGUACCGUGAGGGAAAGAUGAAAAGCACUUUGGAAAGAGAGUUAAACAGUACGUGAAAUUGCUGAAAGGGAAACGCUUGAAGUCAGUCGCGUUGUCCGGAACUCAGCCUUGCUUUCGCUUGGUGCACUUUCCGGAUGACGGGUCAGCAUCGAUUUUGACCGUCGGAAAAGGGCUGGAGUAAUGUGGCACCUCCGGGUGUGUUAUAGACUCCGGUCGCAUACGGCGGUUGGGAUCGAGGAACGCAGCGCGCCGCAAGGCAGGGGUUCGCCCACUUUCGCGCUUAGGAUGCUGGCAUAAUGGCUUUAAACGACCCGUCUUGAAACACGGACCAAGGAGUCUAACAUACCUGCGAGUGUUUGGGUGGCAAACCCGAGCGCGUAAUGAAAGUGAAAGUUGAGAUCCCUGUCGUGGGGAGCACCGACGCCCGGACCUGACGUUCUCUGACGGAUCCGCGGUAGAGCAUGUAUGUUGGGACCCGAAAGAUGGUGAACUAUGCCUGAAUAGGGUGAAGCCAGAGGAAACUCUGGUGGAGGCUCGUAGCGAUUCUGACGUGCAAAUCGAUCGUCAAAUUGGGUAUAGGGCGAAAGACUAAUCGACCCAUCUAGUAGCUGGUUCCUGCCGAG